Molecule: long non-coding RNA, 500 nt
Filed under: Mytilus galloprovincialis (Mediterranean mussel)
Lineage: Eukaryota; Metazoa; Mollusca; Bivalvia; Mytilida; Mytilidae
Source: RNAcentral
CGGAUCCAGGAAUUUAUUAGUGGGUGGUCACCUUUUAAAAUCUUAAAUUAAAAUUAAAUUAAAAUUCAAUUUUUUUAUGGCCCCUUAUAGGAAGAUUCUGUUUGCCACAAAGCAAAAUACACUUGCAUAUAGAUUUCAAAACAGUUCUGUUUGCUUUUAUACGUUCAUUCAUUGCUUUAUCAAUAAAUGUUUGAAUAUCAGUAGUCCUUUGCUCAAUGUUGUCAAGAAAAAGUUGAGCUUUUGCUCUAGCUUUAGUAUGACUUUUUUUACAUGGUUUCUCAUCACGGCCGAAAUGAUCGUUAAGUCUUGUACUUGCAUGUGCCAUAUCUGUUAGUGGUUUGCAUGAUAAUGUUCCAAAACUAUCAACCCCAAACAGAGCACAGUAUAUGCAGUAAGCCCCUUCUUGUGAAGGUGAGUACACUAGCCCAUCAUAUCGAUUUAGCCAAUUCAGCUGAAACAGUCUGUUCUUUCCUGCAUAUUUUUUUUAUAGGAAAGUUAUA